CCUACGGGUGGCAGCAGUGAGGAAUAUUGGUCAAUGGGAGCAAUCCUGAACCAGCCAUGCCGCGUGCAGGACGACGGCUCUACGAGUUGUAAACUGCUUUUGUACAGGGGUAAAAUGCCUUACGUGUAGGGUUUUGAAAGUACGGUACGAAUAAGGAUCGGCUAACUCCGUGCCAGCAGCCGCGGUAAUACGGAGGAUCCGAGCGUUAUCCGGAUUCAUGGGGGUUAAAGGGUGCGUAGGUGGUGUUUGAAGUUAGCGGUGAAAUACCGAUGCUCAACAUCGGGGCUGCAGGUAAUACUGUAAGACUUGAGAUCAGAUGCGGCAGGCGGAAUGUGUGGUGUAGCGGUGAAAUGCAUAGAUAUUACAAAGAACACCGAUUGCGAAGGCAGCUUGCUAGGCCGGAUCUGACACUGAUGCACGAAAGCGUGGGGAUCGAACAGGAUUAGAUACCCUUGUAGUC
This 460-nucleotide ribosomal RNA is filed under the name uncultured bacterium. Its description in RNAcentral is "partial 16S ribosomal RNA". It matches the Rfam family "Bacterial small subunit ribosomal RNA", at positions 338 to 795 of the family's 1533-position model. The record is from RNAcentral.